Molecule: long non-coding RNA, 2301 nt
Organism: Solenopsis invicta (red fire ant)
Lineage: Eukaryota; Metazoa; Arthropoda; Insecta; Hymenoptera; Formicidae
Exons: 4
Source: RefSeq, a predicted model, not a curated record
AGUCCUGACAAACGUUAGCCAAUCACGAUGCCGGAAGAAUAGUAUGUGCGUAGCAGAGAGAAGCCAGAGUGGCCCAAGCCACUCGAUCGAGACGCUGCGUGCGCCGCGCGCAUGCGCCGCGGCCGUCCUGUUCACGCCGCUACGCAGUGGCAUGGAGACGGUCGGUGAGCCGGCGAGCCGGUCGGUCAAGUAGGACGGCGCGUAGUUGUCUCGCGUCGCGGCGCAUUUCAACCUGUAUCUUCGUCGUCUCGUGCGAGUGUUUGACGCGAGCGAGUGUAUCGAGAGUGCCGUGGAGUGUCGAGAGCGAAGGUGAAGUGUCGGCCGUUCGUGUCAACAUUCGUCGUGUCGGUUACGAUGUAUGGUGGGAAGUCGUGUGGCGUUCAAUCGUGUUUUGCAUCCUCUCCGUUGUCUCGUAUCUCGAAUUUUCGACGGGCGUGAGUACCGGGAGGGUCGAAAACGAAGAGUUAUGCGUUCGUACCAAGUGUGAAUCGAUCUUGGAUCCCCCGUGCCGCUCAGACGACAACUGUGUCGGUUGGUCGGGACGGAGCGAGGUCGCUCGUGUGUUCAAUCUCGUCUUCUCGGUUGCCCCGUAUUCCGCAUCUCGAGUAUUCGACGGGCGUGAGUACCGAGAGGGUCGAAAACGAAGAGUCGUGCGUUUCGUGCAAAGUGUGAAUCGAGACGAAUCGCCGUGAGGAGAAUCUUGGACUUCGAACAUUCGAGAGCUGCGGCCGAAACGGAGCUGGACGGAGCGACCAGCGGCGAACGGUCAUGCGGCGCGGAUUAAGGAAACACGCUGACGUCGGGUGCCCACCCUUGGUUUUCCGUUCUUGUAGGAGCAGAACCUCGGAGUCGACAUCGUGGAACGAAACGCCGGCCGAUCGUCGCGUUAACCGGGGAUACGGCGCCGGGGACAGCCGAUCGAUAUUCCUGGAGAUGGAAAGCGACGAGAAGAGGACAACACCCAUCGUCGCCGACUUACAAUAAAAUAAACGAACCGCAGCCGGUUCGUCGCGUCGCGCGUUUUUUUCCGGGAGUGCCGUUCAAGUAUUGGACUAAUGAACUUUUCAUAACUCCCAUUCGAUAGAAUCCUAAUUCGAGGGCCGGGAAUCGCACCCCCGCUGCUUGGCAGUGAAUAUUCUUACUGGGGCGUUGCGUAUGGUGGGCGUGCGCGCCGCACCGCGACGUUCCAUGCCGAGUGCCCGUGCACGAGGUAAUGCCGGGCCGGAUGUACGACAUGUUCGUGUGCAUGUUGCGCGGCUGUCUGGUUGUGUGAGUUUACACGCUCUGUCUUCGGCGAUCGGUUCGGUCCUAAGCGGUUAGAGUUCGGAUCGGUUGCCUUGGAUUCGCGCGUUUCUCUUGCUCUCGUCCGCCAUCCUAAGGCUUUCUUAGAUCCUUGAUACCCUUUUCGGAUUCUUUGGAUUUGGGGUUCGAGCCAGUGAAUCACGUUUAAUCUGACUUGGUCAGAACUUGGCCUUGUAGGUUAAGCUUGUGACGAGAGGCUGGCUCUCAUUUCCUGAUUCGUCUAAAAUGCCAGACGUCGGCAAUGAGUACCUUCUUCUCUCGUCCUGCCGGAGUGUCUUGUCGACGCCGCUUGGAUAUAGGAUCCAGUGGGACUGAUCUCGAUGAUCCGUUGGCUGGGCGUAUGAACGAGUCAAUUUUAGACGUGACUUUGUGAGACAAGGGGCGUCGGAUUCAAUGCCAUCGAUUUCGUUUUCUUCCGCGUGGGGCUUACCCUUGUUCGGGGGCGGGUACGCGUGCGUUCUACUCGUCGACUCGGGGUGCUGAAUCCACGGGAAUCCCUAUGAAUGGGAACUCAUAUCAUGGGUUUUAUAAACCCGAAGUGCCGCAGUAUCGCGCGAAAAACUUUAUAAAUAAUUAGUCCACGCGCGCAAAUUUAGUAUAUUGUUCGCGAGUGUUUUGCAUAUGCAACGAGAAGAAGAGGCUUAACUACCUGGAGGACUGAGAGGAGGAGGAGGCCUGGGAGAGGCAUCGGGCCCCAGCGGAGCAACCUUGGGUAAUCAUCGCAGCUUCGUGGCUGAUCGACUCCGCUCGUUGCGCAUCGAGUCGGUGAGUCAAAUCAAUUUUCUUAUUACAUUUUAAUGCUUUACAAAUGUCGUGCGCAAGAUCAAAAGAAAGUGUACAACGGAAAGAAAUAGUUUUGAUUAAAAUUUUUAUAAAAAUUUCUGAAAAAUCUUGGAAUUUUUAGGAAAUGGAUUUACUUUUAACACUCUGAUUAUGUUUUUUUAAAGUAAAUAAAUUGUUUGUUCAAAUUAUUUGUUUAAUUUAAACAAAUAGUAUUUU